GUGAGUAACGCGUAAGUAACCUACCCCUUUAUUGGGGAUAACAGUUCGAAAGGGCUGCUAAUACCGAAUAAUCUCCGAUAAUGCGAGUUAUUGGAGGAAAGGUAACCUCUUGAUAAAGUUACCGUAGAGGGAGGGGCUUGCGUACCAUUGGCUAGUUGGCGAGGUAACGGCUCCCCAAGGCGACGAUGGUUAGCGGGUCUGAGAGGAUGAUCCGCCACACUGGAACUGAAACACGGACCAGACUCCUACGGGAGGCAGCAGUGAGGAAUAUUGCGCAAUGGGGGCAACCCUGACGCAGCGACGCCGCGUGAGUGAAGAAGGCCUUUGGGUUGUAAAGCUCUGUCGGGAGGGAAGAAAUGCUUGGCGGUUAAUAGCCGUCAGGUUUGACGGUACCUUCAAAGGAAGCACCGGCUAACUCCGUGCCAGCAGCCGCGGUAAUACGGAGGGUGCGAGCGUUAAUCGGAAUUACUGGGCGUAAAGGGCGCGUAGGCGGCCCGGCAAGUCAGAUGUGAAAGCCCACGACUCAAUCGUGUGAAGUGCAUUUGAAACUAUCGGGCUUGAGUACCGGCGGGGGAGAUGGAAUUCCCGGUGUAGAGGUGAAAUUCGUAGAUAUCGGGAGGAAUACCGGUGGCGAAGGCGAUCUUCUGGACGGAUACUGACGCUGAGGCGCGAAAGCGUGGGGAGCAAACAGGAUUAGAUACCCU
This 704-nucleotide ribosomal RNA is filed under the name uncultured bacterium. RNAcentral's name for it is "bacterial SSU rRNA". It matches the Rfam family "Bacterial small subunit ribosomal RNA", at positions 106 to 788 of the family's 1533-position model. The record is from RNAcentral.